Molecule: ribosomal RNA, 301 nt
Filed under: uncultured bacterium
Lineage: Bacteria
Description: partial 16S ribosomal RNA
Rfam family: Bacterial small subunit ribosomal RNA
Source: RNAcentral
CAGUAGCCACGGUAAGACGAACCGUGCGAACGUUAUUCGGAAUCAUUGGGCUUAAAGCGCGUGUAGGCGGAUGGGAACGUCGGUCGCUGAAAUACCCCGGCUCAACCGGGGAACUGGCAUCGAAACGACCCGUCUCGAGGGGCAUAGGGGGAGCUGGAACUUCCGGUGGAGCGGUGAAAUGCGUUGAGAUCGGAAGGGACGCCCGUGGCGAAAGCGAGCUCCUGGAUGUCUUCUGACGCUGAGACGCGAAAGCUAGGGUAGCGAACGGGAUUAGAUACCCCAGUAGUCCCUGUCUCUUAUA